This 614-nucleotide long non-coding RNA is filed under the name Heterocephalus glaber (naked mole-rat). RNAcentral's name for it is "lncRNA (ENSHGLG00100051525.1)". Lineage: Eukaryota; Metazoa; Chordata; Mammalia; Rodentia; Bathyergidae. The record is from RNAcentral.
CCUACUUUGAACAAGUACCAUACAGAGAUUGGGGUAAGGGUGAGUGUAGAUGCUAAUGCACAGCCACGUGUAAUGAUGCCUUGUCUACUUUUCCACCAGAGACAGGAUCGGCUUCAAAGCAACUUCUGUGUUUCUGGUACUAAAAGGCAAGAAUCCCUGAACGUCUGCAGCUUACCCAGAAGGAGCCUGGGAUGGUCAGUGAAUUUGAGACUGGAUGUCAACAUGGCCUGGGAGAGGCAGGAAGCAUGAGGUUUGGAUUACCGGGGAUCGAACUCAGGACCUUGUGCUUAUGAGGCAGGAGCUGGAAGCUGCACGUCAACCCCUUUACAACUGGAGUGGUGGUCAGAUCUAGGGACACAUUCAGUUCUCUGUGUAGAGUGGACUCUUCCCUCUGACCCACUGUUUCUCCCAUGCCAAAGUCCAUUAUGCACUUGAAGGGCAAAAGCAUGGCUUGGUGGCUAUAACUUGGGAGACCUGGACUCGGCAGUGCUGUCCCUCAAAUGCUUGCUGCUGGAGCUCUGGGACAGUGUUUCAGUUACGGCUCCCCCUGUGGUCACUGAAGAAAGAAAGAUGGCAGACACAUGCGUGUGCAUAUGUGAACGUUCAUAUUCACU